Molecule: non-coding RNA, 94 nt
Organism: Mycena metata
Lineage: Eukaryota; Fungi; Basidiomycota; Agaricomycetes; Agaricales; Mycenaceae
Source: the annotation of a GenBank genome assembly
AGCAGUAUGGUGUAGUGAUGCACACGGGAUAUCUGUCAGGUCUUCACUCUCUUGGUGGAACCCCGAGGUCCUUGUUCGAAUCAGGGUGCUGCUC